GCAGCAAAGUUUGAAAGUGGAAUUUCCCUAGAAUGUGAAUGCAUAAUGAUAAACAUAAGCGACUAGCAGCAGUGGGUCGUCUCAUGAACAAAUCGCUCUCUGUAAGGUGAUGUUCCUUUUGGAAGUUAAUCCCCCUCCAUAAGAUGACAUACGGGAAGGGCUAUCAACCAAAGCACCCAACAUUCUCUGGACCAAGGAAUGGACACAUGGCCCCAAAAAAAUACUGAAAUUGUGGGGUCGCUUACCUGGCUUACCUGUUCCUCUCACAAAGACAGUGUGAGGAAAUGGCUGCACAGAGAGGUAGAAUCAUCAAGUCGAGAAUCAAACUCAGGCUGUCUGGCUCCAGAGUGGGCGCUCAAUAAAAGUUUGUUGAAUUCUAUUAAAACCCAAACUGGAAAAACUGAUUUAGAAAUCCGAAGUUCCUUUCUUCCAGAUAGUG
This is a long non-coding RNA of Balaenoptera musculus (blue whale), 439 nucleotides long. RefSeq lists it as uncharacterized. NCBI's taxonomy places the organism in Eukaryota, Metazoa, Chordata, Mammalia, Artiodactyla, Balaenopteridae. The transcript has 4 exons. The record is from RefSeq and is a predicted model, not a curated record.